UACGAAGGCUCCAAGCGUUAUCCGGAUUUAUUGGGCGUAAAGCGUGCGCAGGUGGUUUUGUGCGUCUCGUGUUAAAUGUCACUGCUUAACAGUGUCACCGCACGGGAUACGGCAAAACUAGAGCAUGUGAGAGGUUACUAGAAUUCACGGUGUAGGGGUGAAAUCCGUUGAUAUCGUGGAGAAUACCAAAGGCGAAGGCAGGUAACUGGCACAUUGCUGACACUCAGGCACGAAAGCGUGGGGAGCAAAAAGG
This 253-nucleotide ribosomal RNA is filed under the name uncultured bacterium. Its description in RNAcentral is "partial 16S ribosomal RNA". It matches the Rfam family "Bacterial small subunit ribosomal RNA", at positions 524 to 776 of the family's 1533-position model. The record is from RNAcentral.